CCGACCUUAGCUCAGUUGGUAGAGCGUGAGACUGUAAUGGUUGCUUGAAUCUCAAUGUCGCCUGUUCGAUCCAGGCAGGUCGGA
This is a non-coding RNA of Blastosporella zonata, 84 nucleotides long. The record is from the annotation of a GenBank genome assembly. Lineage: Eukaryota; Fungi; Basidiomycota; Agaricomycetes; Agaricales; Lyophyllaceae.